GAAGAAUUCCCUGAUGAAGUGGAUACUCCAUUGGAUGUCCCUGCUAGGAAGCGUUUCGCCAAGUACAGAGGGCUCAAAUCUUUCAGAACUUCCUCCUGGGACCCAAAAGAAUCUCUACCUCAAGAGUAUGCUAGAAUAUUUGCAUUUGACAAUUUUAAUAGGACGCAAAAGCAUGUACUGUCUAGAGCCCGAGAGAUGGAACAGAACGUUGAUGAAUGUAUACCAGCUGGUUCAUAUGCAAGGCUCCAUAUCCGGGAAGUUCCAAAUGGUGUGGCAAACAAGUUAAAUCUUGUAACGAAGACAAUGCCUGUGAUCCUGUGUGGUCUGAUGCAGCAUGAGUCUAAAAUUUCUGUCCUUCACUUCAGCUUAAAAAAGCACGACAGUUACACUGAUCCAAUAAAAUCUAAAGAAGAGAUGAUAUUCAAUCUUGGGUUUCGCCAGUUUGUUGCAAGGCCCAUAUUUUCUUCCGAUAGUUUUAACGCUGAUAAGCAAAAAAUGGAGAGAUUUCUCCAUCCCGGGCGUUUUUCAGUAGCUUCAGUAUAUGCUCCUAUUUCAUUUCCUCCCCUUCCUUUAAUUGCCCUGAAGAUUAAAGACGAUGCAACUCCUGCCACUGUUGCUGCCAUUGGCUCUUUGAGAAGUAUUGACCCAGAUAGGAUUAUUCUAAAGAAAAUUAUUUUAACCGGUUACCCUCAACGAGUAUCAAAACAGAAAGCGACGGUAAGAUACAUGUUUCAUAACCCAGAGGAUGUCAGAUGGUUCAAGCCUGUUGAAGUUUGGUCAAAGUGUGGUCGUCGUGGUCGCAUCAAG
RNAcentral lists this unclassified non-coding RNA (807 nucleotides) under Hevea brasiliensis (rubber tree). The record is from RNAcentral. Lineage: Eukaryota; Viridiplantae; Streptophyta; Magnoliopsida; Malpighiales; Euphorbiaceae.